Molecule: ribosomal RNA, 705 nt
Filed under: uncultured bacterium
Lineage: Bacteria
Description: bacterial SSU rRNA
Rfam family: Bacterial small subunit ribosomal RNA
Source: RNAcentral
GGCGGACGGGUGAGUAACGCGUAGGAAUCUGUCUUGGAGCGGGGGAUAACCAGGGGAAACUUUGGCUAAAACCGCAUAGACUCGAGAGAGGAAAGCAGGGGACCUGAAAAGGCCUUGUGCUCUAAGGUGAGCCUACGUCAGAUUAGCUAGUUGGUAGGGUAAAGGCCUACCAAGGCGAUGAUCUGUAGCUGGUCUGAGAGGACGGACAGCCACACUGGGACUGAGACACGGCCCAGACUCCUACGGGAGGCAGCAGUGGGGAGUAUUGGACAAUGGGGGCAACCCUGAUCCAGCGAUGCCGCGUGUGUGAAGACGGCCUUCGGGUUGUAAAGCACUUUCAGUUGGGGAGAGAAGCGUGAGGUGAAUAAUCUUACGUGGAGACGUUACUGACAGAAGCAGCACCGGCUAACUCUGUGCCAGCAGCCGCGGUAAGACAGAGGGUGCGAGCGUUAAUCGGAGUGACUGGGCGUAAAGGGCGCGUAGGCGGUUGUAAGGGUCUGAUGUGAAAUGUCUGGGCUUAACCUGGGAUGUGCAUUGGAAACUGUAUGACUAGAGUCUAGGAGAGGAGAGUGGAAUUUCCGGUGUAGCGGUGAAAUGCGUAGAGAUCGGAAAGAACCCUCGUGGCGAAGGCGACUCUCUGGCCUAAGACUGACGCUGAGGCGCGACGGCGUGGGGAGCGAACAGGAUUAGAUACCCUGGUAGUCC